Molecule: ribosomal RNA, 133 nt
Filed under: uncultured bacterium
Lineage: Bacteria
Description: partial 16S ribosomal RNA
Rfam family: Bacterial small subunit ribosomal RNA
Source: RNAcentral
GGGGAAUAUUGGGCAAUGGGCGCAAGCCUGACCCAGCAACGCCGCGUGAAGGAAGAAGGCUUUCGGGUUGUAAACUUCUUUUGACAGGGAAGAGCAGAAGACGGUACCUGUCGAAUAAGCCACGGCUAACUAC